UACGGAGGUCCCGAGCGUUGUUCGGAUUCACUGGGCGUAAAGGGUGCGUAGGUGGCUUGGUAAGUUUGAUGUGAAAGCUCAGGGCUUAACCCUGAAAUGGCAUUGAAUACUACUGUGCUGGAGGUUUGGAGGGGGGACUGGAAUUCUUGGUGUAGCAGUGAAAUGCGUAGAUAUCAAGAGGAACACCAGUGGCGAAGGCGAGUCCCUGGACAACACCUGACACUGAGGCACGAAAGCUAGGGGAGCAAACAGG
Molecule: ribosomal RNA, 253 nt
Filed under: uncultured bacterium
Lineage: Bacteria
Description: partial 16S ribosomal RNA
Rfam family: Bacterial small subunit ribosomal RNA
Source: RNAcentral